ACGCUAGCUACAGGCUUAACACAUGCAAGUCGAGGGGAAACGGCAUUAAGUGCUUGCACUUUUUGGACGUCGACCGGCGCACGGGUGAGUAACGCGUAUCCAACCUUCCCAUGACUAAGGGAUAACCUGCCGAAAGGCAGACUAAUACCUUAUGGUCUUCACUGACGGCAUCAGAUGUGAAGUAAAGAUUUAUCGGUUAUGGAUGGGGAUGCGUCUGAUUAGUUAGUUGGCGGGGUAACGGCCCACCAAGGCAACGAUCAGUAGGGGUUCUGAGAGGAAGGUCCCCCACAUUGGAACUGAGACACGGUCCAAACUCCUACGGGAGGCAGCAGUGAGGAAUAUUGGUCAAUGGGCGAGAGCCUGAACCAGCCAAGUAGCGUGCAGGAUGACGGCCCUAUGGGUUGUAAACUGCUUUUGUAUGGGGAUAAAGUCAAUCACGUGUGAUUGUUUGCAGGUACCAUACGAAUAAGGACCGGCUAAUUCCGUGCCAGCAGCCGCGGUAAUACGGAAGGUCCGGGCGUUAUCCGGAUUUAUUGGGUUUAAAGGGAGCGUAGGCUGGAGAUUAAGUGUGUUGUGAAAUGUAGACGCUCAACGUCUGACUUGCAGCGCAUACUGGUUUCCUUGAGUACGCACAACGUUGGCGGAAUUCGUCGUGUAGCGGUGAAAUGCUUAGAUAUGACGAAGAACUCCGAUUGCGAAGGCAGCUGACGGGAGCGCAACUGACGCUGAAGCUCGAAGGUGCGGGUAUCGAACAGGAUUAGAUACCCUGGUAGUCCGCACAGUAAACGAUGGAUGCCCGCUGUUGGUACGUGGUAUCAGCGGCUAAGCGAAAGCAUUAAGCAUCCCACCUGGGGAGUACGCCGGCAACGGUGAAACUCAAAGGAAUUGACGGGGGCCCGCACAAGCGGAGGAACAUGUGG
This 920-nucleotide ribosomal RNA is filed under the name uncultured bacterium. RNAcentral describes it as "bacterial SSU rRNA". It matches the Rfam family "Bacterial small subunit ribosomal RNA", at positions 33 to 944 of the family's 1533-position model. The record is from RNAcentral.